RNAcentral lists this ribosomal RNA (254 nucleotides) under uncultured bacterium. Its description in RNAcentral is "partial 16S ribosomal RNA". It matches the Rfam family "Bacterial small subunit ribosomal RNA", at positions 526 to 779 of the family's 1533-position model. The record is from RNAcentral.
CGUAGGGUCCGAGCGUUGUCCGGAAUUAUUGGGGCGUAAAGGGCUCGUAGGCGGUUCGUCACGUCGGAGUGAAACUACGGAGCUUAACUCCGAGCCUGCUUCCGAUACGGGCAGACUAGAGGUAGGCAGGGGAGAGCGGAACUCCUGGUGUAGCGGUGGAAUGCGCAGAUAUCAGGAAGAACACCGGUGGCGAAGGCGGCUCUCUGGGCCUUACCUGACGCUGAGGAGCGAAAGCGUGGGUAGCGAACAGGAUU